This 489-nucleotide ribosomal RNA is filed under the name uncultured bacterium. Its description in RNAcentral is "partial 16S ribosomal RNA". It matches the Rfam family "Bacterial small subunit ribosomal RNA", at positions 355 to 860 of the family's 1533-position model. The record is from RNAcentral.
UGGGGAAUAUUGCACAAUGGGCGAAAGCCUGAUGCAGCAACGCCGCGUGAGUGAUGAAGGUCUUCGGAUUGUAAAGCUCUGUCUUUUGGGACGAUAAUGACGGUACCAAAGGAGGAAGCCACGGCUAACUACGUGCCAGCAGCCGCGGUAAUACGUAGGUGGCGAGCGUUGUCCGGAUUUACUGGGCGUAAAGGGUGCGUAGGCGGAUGUUUAAGUGAGAUGUGAAAUACCCGGGCUUAACUUGGGUGCUGCAUUCCAAACUGGAUAUCUAGAGUGCAGGAGAGGAGAAUGGAAUUCCUAGUGUAGCGGUGAAAUGCGUAGAGAUUAGGAAGAACACCAGUGGCGAAGGCGAUUCUCUGGACUGUAACUGACGCUGAGGCACGAAAGCGUGGGUAGCAAACAGGAUUAGAUACCCUGGUAGUCCACGCCGUAAACGAUGAGUACUAGGUGUAGGAGGUAUCGACCCCUUCUGUGCCGCAGUAAACACAU